This 253-nucleotide ribosomal RNA is filed under the name uncultured bacterium. Its description in RNAcentral is "partial 16S ribosomal RNA". It matches the Rfam family "Bacterial small subunit ribosomal RNA", at positions 524 to 776 of the family's 1533-position model. The record is from RNAcentral.
UACGGAGGGUGCAAGCGUUACUCGGAAUUACUGGGCGUAAAGCGUGCGUAGGCGGUUUGUUAAGUCCGUUGUGAAAGCCCUGGGCUCAACCUGGGAAUUGCAGUGGAUACUGGCGAGCUAGAGUGCGGUAGAGGAUGGUGGAAUUCCCGGUGUAGCGGUGAAAUGCGUAGAGAUCGGGAGGAACACCCGUGGCGAAGGCGGCCAUCUGGACCAGCACUGACGCUGAGGCACGAAAGCGUGGGGAGCAAACAGG